UAAAAUGAGAAAUAUUCAAACAAUCCAUGUCAGCCAACAAUUGGUCAAGACAGGAAACUGAGUGACACAGUUGAUUGGUUUCCGACAUGUAGGUCAAUCGGAUCCCUACCAAUGGCACCUAAAUGCUAUUUAAUUUCCACACAUUACUGCAGGUUGAUGCAUGCAUCUUUGUGCUCAAUAAAAGUGUUCCUUGCUCUCUCCUCAUCCCCAGCUCCACCUGUCUAGAUCUGCUUAAGCUAGGGGGGUCUUGCACACAUAUAGUAGAUUUAAAUUCUGUCUGUUUUGUGUUGUAUUUCAACAGCAGCAAUAGCAGCAGUAGCUAUAUAGCACUUGUUACUCUUGGCAGCCACUGAAUCUAACAACAGCAGCUUAAGCAGAUCUAGUCCAUCUAGACCAAGCAUAUAUCAUGCACUAAUAUGAAUAAAUCAUUUGAUAAACAUCUAAGACUUCUCUUCUGUCUGAACUGCAGUAAUAUUUGCCACAUUGACACUAAAAGCAAUGCAGCUGCUGGAAAGAGUUGGAAUUGUGUGUGAUCUGGAAUUGUGUGUGGUCUGAAAAUGCCUGCAAGAUUUAGCAUCUUGCAUUAGCUGCUAAUUGUUUUGCUCUGCUCUUCACCCUUAACUCAACUAAUAAGGAAAUUGAGAUAACAAAAGGAAGUAGGUGAGUCUUUGUUUACUGUGUAUUUUUACUGUGUAUGUGUGAUCAUUAACUUAAUCAUUGCCAUGGUCACGUUAAGGGUGGGGAACUAGAUCAAAUAACAGUAGAAGUUUGACCAAUGAAUUGUUUCUUCUUGCCAAGUCUGAUAGAAGUCUUUUUGCCAAAUCUGAUUACAGCUGCAUAAACUGACAUUGUUUCCUGCUUCCUCCAGAAUGUGUCCCUGAAUGGUAUAUAAAGCACACAGAAUCCUAUUCUCAUCACUCCAUCACUUCACCUGAUACUUAUCUACUACAGAUUCUCCAAAGGAAGCCAACUCUACACCAGUUAGCAUGAAGGUUCUCAGCAGUUAUUCUCUGCUUGUUCUUUGCUGCUACCCUUGCUGCUUCAGCAGCAGAAGUUCUAGAGACUCAAGCUGAAGAUAACACUGUUCCAGAGGAAACUUUGGAGGUAAACAAUAUGGUGGAGGACCCUUUGCCUGAAG
Alosa sapidissima (American shad) is the source of this 1138-nucleotide long non-coding RNA. RefSeq lists it as uncharacterized. The transcript is spliced from 4 exons. The record is from RefSeq and is a predicted model, not a curated record. Lineage: Eukaryota; Metazoa; Chordata; Actinopteri; Clupeiformes; Clupeidae.